This 253-nucleotide ribosomal RNA is filed under the name uncultured bacterium. Its description in RNAcentral is "partial 16S ribosomal RNA". It matches the Rfam family "Bacterial small subunit ribosomal RNA", at positions 524 to 776 of the family's 1533-position model. The record is from RNAcentral.
UACAGAGGAUGCAAGCGUUAUCCGGAUUCACUGGGUUUAAAGGGUGCGUAGGUGGAUUAGUAAGUCAGUGGUGAAAUCUCCGGGCUUAACCCGGAAACUGCCAUUGAUACUAUUAGUCUUGAAUACCGUGGAGGUCAGCGGAAUAUGUCAUGUAGCGGUGAAAUGCUUAGAUAUGACAUAGAACACCAAUUGCGAAGGCAGCUGGCUACACGAGCAUUGACACUCAGGCACGAAAGCGUGGGGAUCAAACAGG